RNAcentral lists this microRNA (21 nucleotides) under Citrus sinensis (sweet orange). RNAcentral's name for it is "csi-miR3954b-3p". The record is from miRBase by way of RNAcentral. Lineage: Eukaryota; Viridiplantae; Streptophyta; Magnoliopsida; Sapindales; Rutaceae.
ACCGUGUUUCUCUGCCCAAUC